AUGGUUAUAAUAGGAGGAGAAGCUGAUGGCAAUGAAGGAGAUGGUUCUGGAAGUCAGACCAUUCGCCGGAGGACAAAGCGUGCUGCUAAUCGCCAGCCACGCCCAAAACGUAGUGUUGAGCAGGGAGAGGAAGUUGAGGAUGUUGAUCGGUUUCGGGUUGUAAAGCGGACUAAACGUGCAUCAACAGCAGGGCGAGCUGAAUCAUCUACUAGGGCAGCAGUUGGUGGAGGAGCUGCCUCAUCUUCCGCAGCAGAUGCUGAGGCCAGCGGUGAAGGAGUUGAGGUGGCCGCCCGGGAAGAUGUGGAGCGACCAUCACAAGCUGGCAGGUUAAUGGCAUCACUAGGGCGGUUUGCGAAGUUCAACAGCUUGCUAUCCCCGCCACAGAAGUCAGAGCUAGUUUCAAGGUUGUUUGGGGGCCUCUUGAACUUAUCAAAUACACUUCCAAGGGACUUCAGUAAAUUCCUAGUGCAGUCCUACCAGCCAGAGACAUCUGAAAUGGUGUUCCCAGACAGGGGAAGUAUCCGUGUCGAUGCUGAAAGUGUUCAAAGGGUAUUUGAUCUUCCUAACAGGGGUCUUAAAGUCAGUUAUAAAGUUGACAAGGAUACAACAAGGAGAUUCAGAGAGACUUUCAACAUAACUGGAACUUCUCAUCCCCAGAUCAGUACAUGGACCAAGAUGAUUAAGGAUAUGGGGGGAAGAACGGAUGACACAUUCUUUAUGGCUUGGCUUGCGGUUGCAUUCAGCACUUUCUUA
This 753-nucleotide ribosomal RNA is filed under the name Triticum aestivum (bread wheat). RNAcentral describes it as "partial small subunit ribosomal RNA". The record is from RNAcentral. Lineage: Eukaryota; Viridiplantae; Streptophyta; Magnoliopsida; Poales; Poaceae.